RNAcentral lists this ribosomal RNA (447 nucleotides) under uncultured bacterium. RNAcentral describes it as "SSU rRNA". It matches the Rfam family "Bacterial small subunit ribosomal RNA", at positions 26 to 518 of the family's 1533-position model. The record is from RNAcentral.
AGAGCGAACGCUGGCGGCAGGCCUAACACAUGCAAGUCGAGCGCGUGUAGCAAUACACGAGCGGCAGACGGGAGAGUAACACGUGGGAACGCGCCCUUCGGUUCGGAAUAACUCAGGGAAACUUGAGCUAAUACCGGAUACGCCCUUACGGGGAAAGAUUUAUUGCCGAAGGAACGGCCCGCGUCCGAUUAGCUAGUUGGUGAGGUAACAGCUCACCAAGGCGACGAUCGGUAGCUGGUCUGAGAGGAUGACCAGCCUCACUGGGACUGAGACACGGCCCAGACUCCUACGGGAGGCAGCAGUGGGGAAUAUUGGACAAUGGGCGCAAGCCUGAUCCAGCCAUGCCGCGUGGAUGAUGAAGGCCUUAGGGUUGUAAAGUCCUUUAACGGGGAAGAUAAUGACGGUACCCGUAGAAUAAGCCCCGGCUAACUUCGUGCCAGCAGCCGC